AGGAAUCAAGAGUGAUGUCAGGACAAGCUCUGGUAUGUUUUUGACUCCUGAAGAAAGAAAAUACCCUACGAUACAUCUUUCUAUAUGGAUGGCUGGCGUGGAACAACAGCUACUACAAGUAUUUUCAUUGCUGCUUCGGUUACAGAUUGUCUUGAUGGCUAUAUUGCUCGCAAGAUGAAGUUAAAAUAUUCAUUUGGUGCGUUCUUAGAUCCCGUAGCUGACAAG
Long non-coding RNA from Lotus japonicus, 225 nucleotides. RefSeq lists it as uncharacterized. The transcript has 3 exons. NCBI's taxonomy places the organism in Eukaryota, Viridiplantae, Streptophyta, Magnoliopsida, Fabales, Fabaceae. The record is from RefSeq and is a predicted model, not a curated record.